UACGUAGGGUGCAAGCGUUAAUCGGAAUUACUGGGCGUAAAGCGUGCGCAGGCGGUUUUGCAAGACAGAUGUGAAUUCCCCGGGCUCAACCUGGGAACUGCAUUUGUGACUGCAAGGCUAGAAUCUGGCAGAGGGGGGUAGAAUUCCACGUGUAGCAGUGAAAUGCGUAGAUAUGUGGAGGAAUACCGAUGGCGAAGGCAGCCCCCUGGGCUAAGAUUGACGCUCAUGCACGAAAGCGUGGGGAGCAAACAGG
This 253-nucleotide ribosomal RNA is filed under the name uncultured bacterium. Its description in RNAcentral is "partial 16S ribosomal RNA". It matches the Rfam family "Bacterial small subunit ribosomal RNA", at positions 524 to 776 of the family's 1533-position model. The record is from RNAcentral.